UACAGAGGUGGCAAGCGUUGUUCGGAAUUACUGGGCGUAAAGGGCGCGUAGGCGGCCUUCUAAGUCAGACGUGAAAUCCCCCGGCUUAACCUGGGAACUGCGUCUGAUACUGGGAGGCUUGAGUAUGGGAGAGGGAUGUAGAAUUCCAGGUGUAGCGGUGAAAUGCGUAGAUAUCGGGAGGAACACCAGUGGCGAAGGCGACUACCUGGCCUGUUCUUGACGCUGAGGCGCGAAAGCUAGGGGAGCAAACGGG
This 253-nucleotide ribosomal RNA is filed under the name uncultured bacterium. Its description in RNAcentral is "partial 16S ribosomal RNA". It matches the Rfam family "Bacterial small subunit ribosomal RNA", at positions 524 to 776 of the family's 1533-position model. The record is from RNAcentral.